UACAGAGGGUGCUAGCGUUAAUCGGAUUUACUGGGCGUAAAGCGUGUGUAGGCGGUUUGUUAAGUCGGGUGUGAAAUCCCUGGGCUCAACCCGGGAAUUGCAUUCGAUACUGGCAAGCUAGAGUACGGUAGAGGGCGGCGGAAUUCCGGGUGUAGCGGUGAAAUGCGUAGGUAUCCGGAGGAACACCGAUGGCGAAGGCGGCCCCCUGGUUGGAUACUGACGCUGAGACGCGAAAGCGUGGGGAGCAAACAGG
RNAcentral lists this ribosomal RNA (253 nucleotides) under uncultured bacterium. Its description in RNAcentral is "partial 16S ribosomal RNA". It matches the Rfam family "Bacterial small subunit ribosomal RNA", at positions 524 to 776 of the family's 1533-position model. The record is from RNAcentral.